UAUAUAUAUAUAUGAUGAAAGAGAGAAAGUGAGAUAUUAGAGCAUAGAAUAUAUGCAUAUACACUCAUUCACAUAUUACUGCUUAAUCUUUAAAACC
Long non-coding RNA from Octopus sinensis (East Asian common octopus), 97 nucleotides. RefSeq lists it as uncharacterized. The record is from RefSeq and is a predicted model, not a curated record. Lineage: Eukaryota; Metazoa; Mollusca; Cephalopoda; Octopoda; Octopodidae. The transcript has 3 exons.